UGUCCUUUCUUCAACAGGACUUUCUUAAAGGGCUCCUUGAUCCCCUUUCAUUUCCCAGGAGCACAAAUCAACACAGGUGAGUAUUUUUAUAGACACUUGCUGUUAUUGCAGUCCACGGAAAAACAUCAGCACCAAGGCAUGCUACCUUGUAGCUUCACUGCUGCCAGUGUCUGCCUUCUGAGAGCUCUGCAGUUUCUUUUUCCUGUCACCAGCUCCGUAGUUAAAAUGUGACAGUGCAUUGAUUAACAGAGAUUAAAAUGCAAGAACAGCACUGAAUAUAACCUUUGCCAGUGAUCAUGGUCAAGAUGGAAGAACCAGCCUGAACCAGUAAUCCUUGUCGCCUGCCUUCCUAGUGGCUACUAAUAUGGGGCAGAUUCACAGGAUACACCGUUAAUUAGGUAGACACAUUUGUUUGAAUAAAUCUUCACUCCUGAGUUCAUGUGGCUUAAACAUUGACUAUGAAGAAAUGUUAAG
Long non-coding RNA from Mus musculus (house mouse), 474 nucleotides. RefSeq annotates it as predicted gene, 35827. The transcript is spliced from 4 exons. Lineage: Eukaryota; Metazoa; Chordata; Mammalia; Rodentia; Muridae. The record is from RefSeq and is a predicted model, not a curated record.